RNAcentral lists this antisense RNA (75 nucleotides) under Saccharothrix texasensis. RNAcentral's name for it is "ASpks TB sRNA". It matches the Rfam family "ASpks TB sRNA". The record is from RNAcentral. Lineage: Bacteria; Bacillati; Actinomycetota; Actinomycetes; Pseudonocardiales; Pseudonocardiaceae.
CUUGACCGAACCCAGGUACAGCGGGUGGUCGGCGCUGCGCUCCCGGCCGUAGGUGGCCAGCAGCGCCUGCGCCUC